Long non-coding RNA from Rhinopithecus roxellana (golden snub-nosed monkey), 990 nucleotides. RefSeq lists it as uncharacterized. NCBI's taxonomy places the organism in Eukaryota, Metazoa, Chordata, Mammalia, Primates, Cercopithecidae. The record is from RefSeq and is a predicted model, not a curated record. The transcript has 2 exons.
AAGAGGGGAUAUCAUUUCGAGGCCCAGCUGAGAAGGAUCCCAAUGCUAAAAAUUUACACACUUCAAAGAGCAGAAAGGUGGAAGCGAGUGUUGCUUGGACACAAGGAUGCCACUGUCUUAUCUCCUCCAAUUUGGGAAGUGCCCAGCCUAGAAAGCUAGUCUCCUAUGGCUCCCUGGUGCUGGGUUUCUGGCCUUUGGUGACAUCCCAACAGAAGGGUCCAGAAGCAGGGACCCCAGACACCUUGCUCCCUCUCCCAAAUCACACCCAAAACAUACUGGGGUGAAACAACUGACAGAGGCUCUCUGUGGCGAACAACUGACCAAAGUCACCAGUGGAAAAGUUCCUGAUAAUUAUUUCCGCAAGGACCCUGAAUUCCCUGGUCACCAUGGCAACCUGGAAGUCCCACCAAAUGCUUUCAACAAUGGGGUACCCGGAGGACAUUCGCUCAAUUGACUGCACAGUCUGAGGCCUGAAAAGCAUUUCUGCCCUUCAUUCUUGACUUUCUGGAGCCUCCUUAGUGGUUCAACAGAGCAGAGAUUUUUUAAACUGUCCCCUUUUUUAAACAGGAGAGAAAAUUGAGGUUUAGUACCAGGUGGGUUCAGGUCUUGAGCAAAAUCCCCGUCUUUGAAUUCAGAAUGCUUACCCCAGAGCCGAUCAUGUAGAGCCUAUGAUGUAUCUUAAUCGAAACCCGUGGCCCAAACAUCUCAGCCAGGAACCUGGGACUUUAGGUGUCACUUAAUCUCUUCACAUCUGUUAACUACACCUAUCUGCAUAGGAGGCUCCCCACAUCAGUCCAGGCAACCUUUUUAUUUGCCUGGGGCCAUUUCUCCUAAAUGGAAGGAGAAAAGCCUGAGCAUUAGAAAUUGUGGCAUUAAUGUCUGUAAGGGCUAAUGGAGUGAAAAGAAUACAUUAUUCUCCUUUUCUUUUUAGAAAAAAAUUUCAAUUGUGGAUGCAAUUGAAAUAACAUUAAAAUAAUAUUUCUGAUUGCA